AGCGAACGCUGGCGGCAGGCCUAACACAUGCAAGUCGAACGAACUCUUCGGAGUUAGUGGCGGACGGGUGUGUAACACGUGGGAACGUGCCUUUAGGUUCGGAAUAACUCAGGGAAACUUGUGCUAAUACCGAAUGUGCCCUUCGGGGGAAAGAUUUAUCGCCUUUAGAGCGGCCCGCGUCUGAUUAGCUAGUUGGUGAGGUAAAGGCUCACCAAGGCGACGAUCAGUAGCUGGUCUGAGAGGAUGAUCAGCCACAUUGGGACUGAGACACGGCCCAAACUCCUACGGGAGGCAGCAGUGGGGAAUCGUGCGCAAUGGGCGAAAGCCUGACGCAGCCAUGCCGCGUGAAUGAUGAAGGUCUUAGGAUUGUAAAAUUCUUUCACCGGGGACGAUAAUGACGGUACCCGGAGAAGAAGCCCCGGCUAACUUCGUG
RNAcentral lists this ribosomal RNA (433 nucleotides) under uncultured bacterium. RNAcentral's name for it is "partial 16S ribosomal RNA". It matches the Rfam family "Bacterial small subunit ribosomal RNA", at positions 29 to 507 of the family's 1533-position model. The record is from RNAcentral.